Molecule: long non-coding RNA, 543 nt
Organism: Dreissena polymorpha
Lineage: Eukaryota; Metazoa; Mollusca; Bivalvia; Myida; Dreissenidae
Exons: 5
Source: RefSeq, a predicted model, not a curated record
AUCCGUAAUUAAGGUAUAAAAAGACAACGCCGACCUUAUGUUUUUAUCGACUGCAGAAGACCUCCUUCUUAAAGGUUUCUGUACCUGCAUCAAGGAGCUGAACAACAUCCACCAUGAAGAUUACACUGCUCUGCGCUUUCUUGGUCGUCUUCCUGGCCAUCUCGUUCGUCCACGGAACCCCCGCCAACAAUGGCAGAGGAUUGGGCGGCGCCAAGGGCGGUAAGGAAAUGAUGUACGAAUAUGAUGGUGAGAUGGGAGACAAUGGAAUGCUGUACGACUAUAAUGACAUGAGGACCGGUGAAAAAAUUGGAGACCGCGAUGUAGGGUGUAAGAAGUGGUGCUGGAUAAGAUGGAACGGUCGCCUCUACAUUUGGUGCUGCUUGGCAAUCUAGACACUAGAGCAACAAACAACAAGACCAACACCCCGGAACACGAAUUGGACUGGCACUCGAUAGCGAUGUAUCAAUAUAUAUAUAUAUAUAUAUCAAUAUAUCAAUGUAUUAUGUGCAUUAAAAAAAUAAAAAAAUAAAUAUAUGAAUGUAA